RNAcentral lists this ribosomal RNA (562 nucleotides) under uncultured fungus. Its description in RNAcentral is "partial 18S ribosomal RNA". The stretch from base 176 to 329 matches the Rfam family "5.8S ribosomal RNA". The record is from RNAcentral. Lineage: Eukaryota; Fungi.
AUUUACUGAGAACUGUAUUAUUAUUUGACGUUUGAAGGAUGUUCCCAUGUUAUAAGGAUGGACAUUGCAAAUGUUAACCGAGUCAUAAUCAAGUUUAGGCCUGGUAUCCUAUUAUUAUUUACCAAAAUGAAUUCCGAAUUAAUAUUGCAACAUAGACCUAAAAAAUCUAUAAAACAACUUUUAACAACGGAUCUCUUGGUUCUCGCAUCUAUGGAGAACGAUAUCAUAGUGCUAUAACUAGUGAGAAUUGCAUAUUCAGUGAAUCAUCGAGUCUUUUAACGCAACUUGCGCUCAUUGGUAUUCCAAUGAGCACGCCUGUUUCAGUAUCAAAACAGACCCUCUAUUCCACUUUUGGUGGAUAGGAUUAUUGGCGGCCUCGCCAUCUGUAUAUAUCUUGAACCCCUUGAAAUUUACUAAGGCCUGAACUUGUUUAAGGCCUGAACUUUUUUUUAACUAAAGGAAAGCUCUAGUCUUGACUUUGAUGGGGCCUCCCAAUAAAUCUCUUUAAAUUUGAUCUGAAUCACGUGGGAUACCCGCUAACUUCCCAUAUAGUAGCGGAGGA